UGGGGACGACUGUUGGACCGCCUCUGCUAAGAGGAGGAAGGAAUGGGCAACGGUAGGUCAGCAUGCCCCGAAUUAUCUGGGCUACACGCGGGCUACAAUGGUGGGACAAUGGGUAUCGACACCGAAAGGUGAAGGCAAUCUCCUAAACCCAUCCGUAGUUCGGAUUGUGGGCUGCAACUCGCCCACAUGAAGCUGGAAUCUGUAGUAAUCGUGUCUCAAAAAUGGCACGGUGAAUAUGUCCCUGCUCCUU
RNAcentral lists this ribosomal RNA (250 nucleotides) under uncultured Methanomicrobiales archaeon. RNAcentral describes it as "partial 16S ribosomal RNA". It matches the Rfam family "Archaeal small subunit ribosomal RNA", at positions 1088 to 1338 of the family's 1478-position model. The record is from RNAcentral. Lineage: Archaea; Methanobacteriati; Methanobacteriota; Methanomicrobia; Methanomicrobiales.